UAUCUACUAUGUAGCGAAACCACUGCCAAGGGAACGGGCUUGGAAAGAUUAGCGGAGAAAGAAGACCCUGUUGAGCUUGACUCUAGUCUGGCACUGUGAGGUGACAUGAGAGGUGUAGCAUAAGUGGGAGAUGGCAACAUCGCCGGUGAAAUACCACUACUUUCAUUGUUUCUUUACUUACUCGGUUAGGUGGAGCGCGUGAGUCGUGGUAUAACAACCCGGCGUCAUGGUGUUCUCGAGCCAAGCAUUUUAGGGUUGUGUUCGCGCCGCGGCUCCAUGUCCGUGCGCCACAGAGUGCGGUGCGUGUGGGUGCAAGCCUGCACGUGCCGUGCGUCCCGUGUGCGUCGGCUCGUCUGCGAGUGUGGCGCAGUUUACUCCCUCGCGUGAUCCGAUUCGAGGACACUGCCAGGCAGGGAGUUUGACUGGGGCGAGACAUCUGUCAAAGAAUAACGCAGGUGUCCUAAGGCCAGCUCAGUGAGGACAGAAACCUCGCGUAGAGCAAAAGGGCAAAAGCUGGCUUGAUCCCGAUGUUCAGUACGCAUAGGGACUGUGAAAGCACGGCCUAUCGAUCCUUUUGGCUUGGAGAGUUUCCAGCAAGAGGUGUCAGAAAAUUUAUCACAGGGAUAACUGGGUUGUGGCGGCCAAGCGUUCAUAACGACGUCGCUUUUUGAUCCCUCGAUGUCGGCUCUUCCUAUCAUUGCGAAGCAGAAUUCGCCAAGCGUUGGUUUGUUCAUCCACUAAUAGGGAACGUGAGCUGGGUUUAGACCAUCAUGAGACUGGUUAGUUUUGCCCUACUGAUGACUGUGUCGUUGCAAUAGUAAUCCUGCUCAGUACUAGAGGAAACGCAGGUUCGGACAUUUGGUUCACGCACUCGGCCGAGCGACCGGUGGUGCAAAGCUACCAUCUGUGGGAUUACGCCUGAACGCCUCUAAGGCCGAAUCCCGUCUAGCCAUUGUGGCAACGAUAUCGCAUAGGAGUCCCGAGGACCGAAAGGCUCGAAAAUACGUGACUUUACUAGGCGCGGUCGACCCACGUGGCGCCGCGCCGUACGGGCCCAACUUGUUUGCCGGACGAGGCAUUCGGGUGGCACUGUCUGGGAUCUGUUCCAGGUGCCGCCCUGCCUCUACCGGUCGACCAUGGGUGUCUAUAUUUCGAUGUCGGGACUCGGAAUCGUCUGUAGACAACUUAGGUACUGGGCAGGGUGUUGUACUCGGUAGAGCAGUUGCCACGCUGCGAUCUGUUGAGACUCAGCCCGGGCUUGGGGGAUUCGUCUUGUCGCGAGACGAGA
Molecule: long non-coding RNA, 1288 nt
Organism: Schistocerca serialis cubense
Lineage: Eukaryota; Metazoa; Arthropoda; Insecta; Orthoptera; Acrididae
Exons: 2
Source: RefSeq, a predicted model, not a curated record